AGCAUCUAAGCGGGAAGCCUGUUCCAAGAUGAGGUUUCUCACCCCCUCAGCGGGGUUAAGGCCCCCCACAGAUCAUGGGGUUGAUAGGCCAGAACUGUAAGCACAGCAAUGUGUUCAGGUGACUGGUACUAAUCGGCCGAGGACUUACCAACAACACCAC
Molecule: ribosomal RNA, 160 nt
Filed under: Gordonia paraffinivorans
Lineage: Bacteria; Bacillati; Actinomycetota; Actinomycetes; Mycobacteriales; Gordoniaceae
Description: partial 23S ribosomal RNA
Rfam family: Bacterial large subunit ribosomal RNA
Source: RNAcentral